ACGCACGCUGACGGCGUGCUUAACCCAUGCAAGUCGAACGGUGAAGCGCCUUCCUUUUUGGUGGGUGUGGAUGAGUGGCGAACGGGUGAGUAACACGUGAGUAACCUGCCCCCUUCUUCUGGAUAACCGCAUGAAAGUGUGGCUAAUACGGGAUAUUCUGGGUCUGUCGCAUGAUGGGUCUGGGAAAGAUAUUGUUUCGGUGGGGGAUGGGCUCGCGGCCUAUCAGCUUGUUGGUGGGGUGAUGGCCUACCAAGGCGGUGACGGGUAGCCGGCCUGAGAGGGUGGACGGUCACACUGGGACGGAGACACGGCGCAGACUCCUACGGGAGGCAGCAGUGGGGAAUAUUGCACAAUGGGCGCAAGCCUGAUGCAGCGACGCCGCGUGAGGGAUGGAGGCCUUCGGGUUGUGAACCUCUUUCGCCAGUGAAGCAGGCCUGCCUCGUUUGUGGGUGGGUUGACGGUAGCUGGAUAAGAAGCGCCGGCUAACUACGUG
This 493-nucleotide ribosomal RNA is filed under the name uncultured bacterium. RNAcentral's name for it is "partial 16S ribosomal RNA". It matches the Rfam family "Bacterial small subunit ribosomal RNA", at positions 29 to 507 of the family's 1533-position model. The record is from RNAcentral.